Molecule: ribosomal RNA, 253 nt
Filed under: uncultured bacterium
Lineage: Bacteria
Description: partial 16S ribosomal RNA
Rfam family: Bacterial small subunit ribosomal RNA
Source: RNAcentral
UACGUAGGCAGCAAGCGUUGUUCGGAGUUACUGGGCGUAAAGAGUGCGUAGGCGGUGUCGAAAGUUUGGCGUGAAAUCUCCCGGCUUAACUGGGAGGGUGCGCCGAAAACUGCGGUGCUGGAGUGUGGGAAAGGCAAGCGGAAUUCCUGGUGUAGCGGUGAAAUGCGUAGAUAUCAGGAGGAACACCGGCGGUGUAGACGGCUUGCUAGACCAUAACUGACGCUGAUGCGCGAAAGCUAGGGGAGCAAACAGG